Molecule: unclassified non-coding RNA, 350 nt
Filed under: soil metagenome
Description: partial contains 5.8S ribosomal RNA, internal transcribed spacer 2, and large subunit ribosomal RNA
Rfam family: 5.8S ribosomal RNA (bases 1-119)
Source: RNAcentral
GAUGAAGAACGUAGCGAAAUGCGAUAAGUAAUGCGAAUUGCAGAAUCCGUGAGUCAUCGAAUCUUUGAACGCACAUUGCGCCCUCUGGUAUUCCGGAGGGCAUGCCUGUUCGAGCGUCAUUAUCACCCCCCAAGCCCGGCUUGUUGUUGGAUGCAGCGCUUAUCCCGCUCCUCCCAAAGAUAAUGACGGCGUCUGCGACGACUCCUGUACACUGAGCUUUCGGGCACGUACACGGCUAGAAGUCCAGACCCGGUCGCCGUCCCCCCCCGCGGGGACACCCAUUACCACAAGGUUGACCUCGGAUCAGGUAGGAAUACCCGCUGAACUUAAGCAUAUCAAUAAGCGGAGGA